CUUUACUGUAGCCUGGAAUUGGGUCCGGGCUUCGCUUGCGCAGGAUAGGUGGGAGGCACUGAAACACUCCUUGUGGGGAGUGUGGAGCCAACGGUGAGAUACCACUCUAGCGAGGCUAGGAUUCUAACUAGCAGCCGUCAUCCGGCACUAGCACAGUUUCAGGUGGGCAGUUUGACUGGGGCGGUCGCCUCCUAAAAGGUAACGGAGGCGCGCAAAGGUUCUCUCAGGCUGGUUGGAAAUCAGCCGUAGAGUGUAAAGGCAGAAGAGAGCUUGACUGCAAGAGCCACACCUCGAGCAGGGACGAAAGUCGGCCUUAGUGAUCCGACGGCGCUGAGUGGAAGGGCCGUCGCUCAACGGAUAAAAGUUA
This 367-nucleotide ribosomal RNA is filed under the name uncultured organism. RNAcentral's name for it is "bacterial LSU rRNA". It matches the Rfam family "Bacterial large subunit ribosomal RNA", at positions 2099 to 2465 of the family's 2925-position model. The record is from RNAcentral.